Molecule: long non-coding RNA, 222 nt
Filed under: Elaeis guineensis (African oil palm)
Lineage: Eukaryota; Viridiplantae; Streptophyta; Magnoliopsida; Arecales; Arecaceae
Description: long non-coding RNA (EGUI_LNC041603)
Source: RNAcentral
CACUGCUCUGCUGUGCCUCACUUCAAUUACCUGUUGGUGUGUUUGGAGAGAACAACAUACGAGAAUCUUUGAUUUCGAAGCAAAGAUAGCUAUAAAGAUUGCUGAAUAGGUAGCCUUUCUCUGCACUAGCUGGACAUCAAAAUUUUCAAAUGAAAAACUACAGCUAAUAUCGGCCAAGUUAGCUCACCUGGAAAUGCUGGUAGUUAAAAUCCUUCGAGGGAA